Molecule: ribosomal RNA, 481 nt
Filed under: uncultured bacterium
Lineage: Bacteria
Description: partial 16S ribosomal RNA
Rfam family: Bacterial small subunit ribosomal RNA
Source: RNAcentral
GAUGAACGCUGGCGGCGUGCCUAACACAUGCAAGUCGAGCGAAGCACUUACUUUAGAUUUCUUCGGAAUGACGAAGUUUGUGACUGAGCGGCGGACGGGUGAGUAACGCGUGGGCAACCUGCCCUGUACAGGGGGAUAACAGUUAGAAAUGACUGCUAAUACCGCAUAAGCCCACAGCUUCGCAUGAAGCAGUGGGAAAAACUCCGGUGGUACAGGAUGGGCCCGCGUCUGAUUAGCUAGUUGGUAAGGUAACGGCUUACCAAGGCGACGAUCAGUAGCCGACCUGAGAGGGUGACCGGCCACAUUGGGACUGAGACACGGCCCAAACUCCUACGGGAGGCAGCAGUGGGGAAUAUUGCACAAGGGGGGAAACCCUGAUGCAGCGACGCCGCGUGAGCGAUGAAGUAUUGCGGUAUGUAAAGCUCUAUCAGCAGGGAAGAAAGUGACGGUACCUGACUAAGAAGCCCCGGCUAACUACGUG